RNAcentral lists this ribosomal RNA (1021 nucleotides) under Alteromonas sp. RNAcentral describes it as "bacterial SSU rRNA". It matches the Rfam family "Bacterial small subunit ribosomal RNA", at positions 54 to 1071 of the family's 1533-position model. Lineage: Bacteria; Pseudomonadati; Pseudomonadota; Gammaproteobacteria; Alteromonadales; Alteromonadaceae. The record is from RNAcentral.
CAUGCAAGUCGAACGGUAACAUUUACUAGCUUGCUAGAAGAUGACGAGUGGCGGACGGGUGAGUAAUGCUUGGGAACUUGCCUUUGCGAGGGGGAUAACAGUUGGAAACGACUGCUAAUACCGCAUAAUGUCUUCGGACCAAACGGGGCUUCGGCUCCGGCGCAAAGAGAGGCCCAAGUGAGAUUAGCUAGUUGGUAAGGUAACGGCUUACCAAGGCGACGAUCUCUAGCUGUUCUGAGAGGAAGAUCAGCCACACUGGGACUGAGACACGGCCCAGACUCCUACGGGAGGCAGCAGUGGGGAAUAUUGCACAAUGGGGGAAACCCUGAUGCAGCCAUGCCGCGUGUGUGAAGAAGGCCUUCGGGUUGUAAAGCACUUUCAGUUGUGAGGAAAAGUUAGUAGUUAAUACCUGCUAGCCGUGACGUUAACAACAGAAGAAGCACCGGCUAACUCCGUGCCAGCAGCCGCGGUAAUACGGAGGGUGCGAGCGUUAAUCGGAAUUACUGGGCGUAAAGCGCACGCAGGCGGUUUGUUAAGCUAGAUGUGAAAGCCCCGGGCUCAACCUGGGAUGGUCAUUUAGAACUGGCAGACUAGAGUCUUGGAGAGGGGAGUGGAAUUCCAGGUGUAGCGGUGAAAUGCGUAGAUAUCUGGAGGAACAUCAGUGGCGAAGGCGACUCCCUGGCCAAAGACUGACGCUCAUGUGCGAAAGUGUGGGUAGCGAACAGGAUUAGAUACCCUGGUAGUCCACACCGUAAACGCUGUCUACUAGCUGUGUGUGUCUUUAAGACGUGCGUAGCGAAGCUAACGCGCUAAGUAGACCGCCUGGGGAGUACGGCCGCAAGGUUAAAACUCAAAUGAAUUGACGGGGGCCCGCACAAGCGGUGGAGCAUGUGGUUUAAUUCGAUGCAACGCGAAGAACCUUACCUACACUUGACAUGCUGAGAAGUUACUAGAGAUAGAUUCGUGCCUUCGGGAACUCAGACACAGGUGCUGCAUGGCUGUCGUCAGCUCGUGUCGUGAA